RNAcentral lists this transfer RNA (75 nucleotides) under Candidatus Peregrinibacteria bacterium CG_4_9_14_0_2_um_filter_53_11. RNAcentral describes it as "tRNA-Asn". It matches the Rfam family "tRNA". From Rfam's summary of the family: Transfer RNA (tRNA) molecules are approximately 80 nucleotides in length. Their secondary structure includes four short double-helical elements and three loops (D, anti-codon, and T loops). Further hydrogen bonds mediate the characteristic L-shaped molecular structure. tRNAs have two regions of fundamental functional importance: the anti-codon, which is responsible for specific mRNA codon recognition, and the 3' end, to which the tRNAs corresponding amino acid is attached (by aminoacyl-tRNA synthetases). tRNAs cope with the degeneracy of the genetic code in two manners: having more than one tRNA (with a specific anti-codon) for a particular amino acid; and 'wobble' base-pairing, i.e. permitting non-standard base-pairing at the 3rd anti-codon position. The record is from RNAcentral. Lineage: Bacteria; Candidatus Peregrinibacteriota.
UCCGGAGUAGCUCAAUGGUAGAGCAACUGGCUGUUAACCAGUAGGUUGUCGGUUCGAGCCCGACCUCCGGAGCCA